Molecule: ribosomal RNA, 290 nt
Filed under: uncultured bacterium
Lineage: Bacteria
Description: partial 16S ribosomal RNA
Rfam family: Bacterial small subunit ribosomal RNA
Source: RNAcentral
GCCUACGGGACGCAGCAGUGGGGAAUAUUGCGCAAUGGACGAAAGUCUGACGCAGCGACGCCGCGUGAGGGAUGAAGGUUUUCGGAUCGUAAACCUCUGUCAGGAGGGAAGAAAGCGCAUGGCGCCAAUCAGCCAUGCGUUGACGGUACCUCCAAAGGAAGCGCCGGCUAACUCCGUGCCAGCAGCCGCGGUAAUACGGAGGGCGCGAGCGUUAAUCGGAAUUACUGGGCGUAAAGCGCACGUAGGCUGUAUGACAAGUCAAGGGUGAAAUGCCACGGCCCAACCGUGGA